This 33613-nucleotide long non-coding RNA is filed under the name Vitis vinifera (wine grape). Its description in RNAcentral is "long non-coding RNA (VVIN_LNC003571)". Lineage: Eukaryota; Viridiplantae; Streptophyta; Magnoliopsida; Vitales; Vitaceae. The record is from RNAcentral.
AGUAGUGUAAGAACGGGUAUGUCAGGUUUAGCUAAGGAACGCUUUGGCACCAUUGUAAUAUGGUGGUGUUGGACAUCCAUAGAUAAGUCCUGAUCCAAAACUGACUUGGGUAGAGUGUGGAUGCUGGGAAGAUGAAUUUGAAACGGGUGUGCAUGCAAAGUGGUUAUAUAGUAUGUGGGGAUAUAGGGACAAACACUUGGACACUUAAGAGUGAAAUUCCAAUAUUCAAAUUCAACCCAAUUCAACAAAGCCUUGAGCCCAAUUACUAGAGUUGGCUACAUGUUAACGUAGAAAGGGUUGCCAAACAAGCUUGUUGGAUUAAACUUGAUGUUUGCAUAAAUAGACUUGUAUGCAGUUUAAUGCAUACUGUUUUGACGUAAGAUUUUAAUUGUUCAUGUUUUAGCAAUAGCAUAUAGUUCCCUGGAACAAUAUUGGAAGAAACAAUGGUUCCCACCUCGUGUAGCAUCCAUCUGCGACCCAUUUCCUGAACCAUCGUCUCCACCAUCCCCAACCAGAUCCACCGUCUUAUAUUCAUCUUCUCCCCUAUCCUACAAGCAAAACCAUUAGCUUAUUCUCCCCACUUGGUUAGAACUUUUCUGGGCACUCAAAAACGUCUAUGUAUCACGGCUCCAACUCUUCCUUGUGGAUAGUACUUGAAUCUAGAUCGCACAGCUAAGCGCUUUAACAAUUAAUUGCUUAUCUGGAAACAAUUAAAAUUGGUUGAGAACCAUUGACUUACCCCCUAUCUUGAAUUAUGAUAUUCUGUUGUCCUCGAGGGCCAAGAAUUUAGUCAAUGUGAGAUGUGACAUUGUGGCGAUGGAGUAGAGGAUCAUUGUAAAUUCUUAUCCAAGGCUAGUAUUUAUUUUGAUGAUACCAUGGUGAAUCUCAUUCCCUUGUGUUUUCAAUUACUAAAACAAAUAUUCAUAUUACAAAAAGUGCAAAGACGAAUAAAUUCCUAUGAUUCAAGCAUGAUUUGCAAAUGGAGCAAAUAUCAUAGACUCUGGGAGGAUACCAAAAGCUACUGCCAAGGCUGGUAUACUCUUAAACCAUGGAGUUUCUAUGUGGAGUUGAGACGGAGGGGAGCUUGUAUGGGAUUAAUUUUGGAAAGUGCUUCUAAGCUUUACAAGUACUUUAUGUUUGAUUUUUGAAAAAUUUAAAGGUAAAUGUGAAGGAAAGAAAAAAAUGAGUGAAUGAAAAAUAAAUUUAAAAUUAAUAAAUUAUUUUUAUAUGUUAUUUUAUAUCUAUUUUAUUUAUUUUAAAUAUUUUAAUUUAAUUUAAAAUUAAAUAAUUUGAAUUUGAAAAUGUAUGGAUUUAUAAAUAAUUUUAAUUAUAUCUGAUUUUUUUUUCAUGAAUAAGCCAAAGAUGAAAAAAAAAAUCAUUUUUCUUUUCAUUUUUUUCUUAGUAUUUUCCUAGAAUCAAUUGGAUGUAAUUGUCAAUAAUAAUAAAAUUUUAAAAAUAUGAAAAAUCAUUUAGUAAGUGACCUUAAAAUCAUGUAGUAACCCUUUCAAAAAUUGUCUUAUAGCAUAAAUGUCGGAUUGGGAACUUGGAAUAUUCUGAAUUGGUUUUUUGUAUUUUCAAGUAUUUUUUUUAAAUUAAUCAUUCUUUAUAUUUACAUGAUUAAUUUUUAAAAUAGCCUCAGAAAUAAUUAAAAAUAAUUAAAAUGUGUUUUUUGAAAAUAAAUUCUUUUUAGAAUGAGUUAUAAAAAAAUUAUGAAAUUUGUUAUAACUCAAGAAAGUAUUUUUUAUUUUAAGAAUAAAAAAUCAUUUUUAAAAAUAGUAUCCAAGCUCCUAGCGGCAUGGAGUGACACGAGGAUAACUAAGAUAAAAGGAUAUAAAAGUGGGAAUAAGACAAGUAAAAGAAAUGAAAGAUAAAUUACAAUUAUAGAAUUGAUUCCGGUUAGAAUUUUGGACAAGCAAAAUAAUUGGAACCAUACAAACCUCCACAAUCCCUUCAGCUAACAUCAUCAACCAUUUUCACUCAAAAUGGAAAAGCAAAUUAGAAACUACAAAUAUAACAUGUCAAAAAAUAAUAAUUAAAAAUUCUAACAAAAGUAGAUUUUAAUUUUCAUGAAAAUAAAUUUUUCAUUUUUAUUAUUAUUUCUAACUACACAUUUAAAUGCAAGAAUAAAAAUAAAUUCUUUAUUUCAUAUUUAAAAUAAAGAAUUUUGUAAAAUUAAAUGGUUGAUAUUAGUUAUUAUAUUAAAUAAAAAUAAACAUAUCUAAAAUCAAAUUUUAUGAAAAUAAUGCUAUAAAUAUAUCAAAAUAUAUCAUAUAUAACAAUAUAAAAACUUAUAACAAAUGACGCGCUAAUAAAAAAUUCUAAGUUUGCAUUAAAAGAAAGAAUAUUAAUAGACUUGCAUGAACAAUGAUAUUUAUAUAUUAGGGUCGGAUUUUGAGUUGAGAUGAUGGUAGUGAAAUCACAACUCACAUCCAAUUCAGCCUUAGAUCUAGUAUGAGAUUUCUCUAAGUUUUGCAUUUUCUUCCCAGCUACUUCAAGUUAGAUUGGACUAAAGUCAAAAGAAAAAGUCUCUAAAAUUUUGAAGUUCCUUAACUUAGGGUCUAAAUAUAUAGUUCAUAAGUUGGCAACUUUACUAUGUUUUCUUUGUUUCUACUGUUGUUUCCUUCCUUUUAUAUUUUCUUCAAAUUUUUCGAGAAACAAACAUAGGAUGAGUGUCAUAUUUGGUUUUAAUAUGAAAAAUACUUUAUAUUUUUUUCCCUUGUAUUUUCUUGAAACCAAGCAUAGCAUGGAGAAUUUUUGGGAGCCAUGUCUUAGUGUUGAUUCAUGCUUUGCAUUCAAGUCUUGAAAAGGUUAGAUGUAGAACUCAAAGUUGCUUUGCAAUUAUAAAAUCCAAAUAAGUCAUCAUUCAUCUAUAUUUUUGUUUAGGAGAAGUCGAGGGUAAAUAUAAAUUCUAGUGCAUGUGUGACUCCAUUAAAGGUUGAAUUAAUUUUAAUAUCAAAAUGUAAUUGUGGACCCUGCAUUUUCGCUCGAUGUGUUCCCACUCGAUGGCAAAACUCGUUUUUUUUUUUCAUUUAUUUGGUGAAAAUUUGAUUUUUAGAAAAAGACUUGGAGUCGCCACUUAUUUUUGUUUUAUUUUUUAAAAAGGAAAACAAAAUAAGAAAGAAAAACCCUAAGGGGGUGUUUGGUACACGGGAAUAGGGAGUGGGAAUAGACAUCUCAUUCCUUUUCUCCCUUAUUCCUAUGUUUGGAUAAAUGUUAAGAAGGCGGAAAUAAAAUAAAAAAUUAUUCCAGCAGAAAUCAAAUCCAACUUAUGAGUCGGAUUUGCAUUCAUUAAAAGUAGGUGGUAUUCUGAUUCAUUAAACCUAUUUGAUAAUAUAAAAUAACCUAAAUUACUAUUUUACCCUCUUAUCUUGUUCUUCAAACCCGAUGUUUAUCUUCUUUGCAAAGGUAGAAAUCCAUUCAUCAUCCACUUCUUAUCUUCUUGCAAAGCUAGAGACCCACUCAUCAUCCAAUUCUCUGCAACAAGUGAUUUUUCCAAAUUGAAUCAAUUAAACCUUCCACGAUAUUUAAAAAAAAAAAAUCAAUUUCUAAUUUAUAGGGUUUUGGAUGUUCAUUUUGAUUGUUGGAUCUAGGAUUCGUCAUUGUUUGCUGCAACUAGGUUCUGAAAACUCCCUUCUACAUCUUCGAUCAGGUUUACCUUAUUUUCUCUUUCUUCUUCUACUUCUUUAUAUGUGUUUCUUCUUCUCUAUAAAUCGAUUAAUUUUUUUUUAUUAAUUUAUGUUUGGAAUCUUUGAUGUUUCUUUAUCUUGUAUUAAUGGAAACUGGAGAGAAAAAUUGAAAUGGUUGGAAAAAGAUUUUUUGAUUUCAUGUGUUUACAAUAUUGAAAAUUUUUAAUGGUUAGGAAAAAAAAUAAAAAGAAAAAAACAAACAAAAAUAGACGGAAAAGGAAAAUAGAGUGGUUGGUGAGUUGGAGAAACUUCCUAAUCUUAAUAGAUUGGACAUAUUUAAGUUAAGUCAAAUUAUUAUGAGUGACCCAAUGAAAGUCAAACUUUUGUUCAAUUUAGAUGAAGAUCUCAAGGUUGAAUGGGCGAAACAACUUCUUCAAACCCCAUGAAUCUCCAUGUUACAUCCUUGUUGAUUUAUUGUCUUUAGGUUGGAUUGAUAGAAAUUUUAGGUUGGAUUUUGUUUCAUCAAUUUCCUAUGAACUUUUUUAUUGAUUUGAUGACUUAAUUUUGGAGGAUAUACUAGUUGUAGAUUUUAGUAGAUAUGGUACUUAUAUUGAGAACUAGAAUGAAGUUUGUGUUUUUUUAUUUCCUUUUUUGCAAAUAAGAAAUAAGUAUUUGGUAGCUUUGACAAUUUAUAUGUUCUUAUAUUUUUUUUUUCUUUUUUUUUCUUAGUAAAAUAUAAUUCUAUAGCUUUUUUUGCAUGACAAAUUAUUUAAAAUUUUGAUAAAAAAAAAACGAAUAUUUAAAAUUUUUUAAGGUUAUGGAUUUUAUCGGAUAUGAUACUUGUUGAAAAUUAGAAUAAAUUUGAAUUCUUUUAUUUCCUCUUUUGAAAAUAGGAAAAACAUUUGCUAGCUUUGAGAAUUUUUAUAUUAUAAUAAAUAAUUUUUUUUUGAAAAAUAUAAUUUUAUAACUACUUAAGCAUGACAAAUUAUUCAAAUUUUUAAUAAAAAUAAUAAUUGAAUAUUUGUGCAUUAGGGUUAUACGAUUUUUUAUGGUUAAUUUUUUAUUUAUUCAGUAUAUAUGUAUUUUUUAGUCUUAUUAUUUAAUAACAAAAAACCUCUCAAAUUUUAUUUUUUUAUAAUAAAAGUAAAAAUAAAAAAAUAUUUUAAAUUAUAUGUAAGGAUAUUAUUGUAAAUUUAUUUCUUUUUCAUUUCCAUUCCUAUUAUUAUCAAACAUUGGAAUGGAAACAAAUAAUCAUUCCAAUCUUGCAUUCCUAAGUUCAUCCAAAUGCUAGAAAUAGAAUCAUCAAAUUCAUUCCAUUCCACUAAGAAAUAGGAAAGGAAACAAAAUAUUAUUUCCAUUCUCUAUUCCGACGUACCAAACACCUCCUAAGUGUGACUUCUUAUUUGGAAAAGUAGGUCUGUGAAAAAUCGAGUCAGGGUUCAAGGGUCAGGUUACUUAUCGGGAAGGUACGGUAAAAACCGUAGCACCCCUCUAAGUUCCUAAAAACGGGUCUCUACUAAUAAGAUGAAGUAAACAUGUCAAUUGGUAAGGAAAUCAAUGGAUACCAAAGUGAUCACAAAUCAUAAGCAAGUCAUGAUAAUGAAUAAAUGAACAAAGUGAGAGCCAUAGCAUACCUUGGUAGCAGGUAAUAAAGCGUUAUCAUGAAACAGAGUUAGUGCGUAAUAACAAAUACAAAAUAUAUCACAUGUAUGUCCAAGAUCAUAACAAAAAUCAAACAAUAUUCAUUAGGCAUAACAAUUAACAAUCAGGAGAGAAAUCUCAUAUAUAGGGCCCCCACCAAAACCCAAUUUAUUUUGCAUGAAUUAAUAUCACAAAUUCCAUUAUUUUGGAAUUAUGAAAAAUUCAUUCUCACUUAUUAAAAUCAAGAGGAACAGAAGAUUAUUUGAGAACUGAAGUGGAAUUAAAACUGUUUGAGAGAAAAUUGGAUUUUUGAAAUUUAUUUGAAAAUUGGAAUAUUGGGAAUUAAAUUUAAGAAUUGGAAUUUUUAAAAUUAUUUGAGAAUUAGAGUUUUGAAAAUUAAAUUAAGGAAUUAGAACUUUGGAAAUUAAAUUUGAAAGAAAUUAGCAAAUUAUUUGAGAAUUGGAGUUUUGAAAAUUAAAUUAUGAAAAUCGAAAACUUGGAAAUUUUUUUAAAAUGGAAGUUUUGAAAAUUAGAAUUUUGAAGAAUUAUUUGAAGAUGAAAUUUUUAAAAAUAAAUAAAAUAAUAAUAAUAACAAAAUUAAUAAUGAUUAAAUAAAUAAAUGUGAAAAUUGGAAUUUUGAAAAUUGGAAAUUAAAUUUGGAAACCGGAAUUUGGAAGAAUGACUUAAAGAUAGGAUUUUAAAAAUGAAUAAAAAAAUAAUAAUAAUAACGAAAAUAAUAAUGAUUAAAUAAAUAAAUGUGAAAAUUAAAAUUUUGGAAAUUGGAAUUAGAAUUUGGAAAUCAGAAUUUUGGAAAAAUGAUUUAAAGAUAGAAUUUUAAAAAUGAAUAAAUAAAUAAAAUAAUAAUAAUAAUGAAAAUAAUAAUAAUUAAAUAAAUAAAUGUGAAAAUUGGAAUUUUGGAAAUUGGGAAUUAGAAUUUGGAAAUCAUAAUUUUGAAGAAUUAUUUAAAGAUGGAAUUUAAAUAAUAAUAAUAAUAAUAAUAAUAAUAAUAAUAAUAAUAAUAAUAAUAAUAAUAAUAAUAACAAAAAUAAUAAUGAUUAAAUAAAUAAAUAUGAAAAUUGGAAUUUUGGAAAUUGGAAAUUAAAUUUGGAGGUCGGAAUUUUGAAAAAUUGUUUAAAGAUGGAAUUUUAAAAAUAAAUGAAUAAAUAAGUAAAUAGAAUAAUAAUAAAAACGAAAAUAAUAAUUAAAUAAAUGAACGUGAAUAUUGAAAUUUUUGAAAUUGGAAAUUAAAUUCGGAAGUCGGAAUUUUGAAAAAUUGUUUAAAGAUGGAAUUUUAAAAAUAAAUAAAUAAAUAGAAUAAUAAAAAUAAGGAAAAUAAUAAUUAAAUAAAUGAACGUGAAUAUUGGAAUUUUUUAAAUUAGAAAUUAAAUUCAGAAGUCGGAAUUUUGAAAAAUUGUUUAAAGAUGGAAUUUUAAAAUAAAUAAAUAAAUAGAAUAAUAAUAAUAAUAACGAAAAUAAUAAUGAUUAAAUAAAUAAUGUGAAAAAUAGAAUUUUGAAAAUUGGAAAUUAAAUUUAGAGAUUGGAAAUUUGAAGAAUUAUUUAAAGAUGGAAUUUUGAAUAAAUGAAUAAGUGAAUAAAUAAAUGAAUGGAAUAAUAAUAAUAACGAAAAUAAUAAUGAUUGGAUAAAUAAUUAUGAAAAUUAGAAUUUUGGAAUUUGGAAAUUGAAUUUGGAAGAAGAUUUAUUUUAAGAUGACAUUUUAAAAAUUAAAUUUAGGAACUAGAAUUUUUGGAAAUUUUAUUUGAAGAUGACAUUUUAAAAAAAUAAAAUAAAAUAAAAUAAAAUUUGGAAGUUAGAAUUUUUGAAAAAUUGAUUUGAAGAUUGAAGUGAUUGAAAAUUCAAAAUUUUGAAAGUUAUUUUAAGAAAACAAUUUGUGAAAACGUGUGAGACCAAAAGGAAAACGGGCAUAUAUAUUCCAAGAUGGCCCACCAAAAAAAUCUUCCAUUGACUUAACUGCCAUGUAAUGAUUCCCAAGCAAGAAAAUAAUAAUAAAAGAAAACCACAAUGGCUCUGAGAGCCUUCAUUUUGGAGAUUGGUUUUGGAAAUUGAUACUUGAUGGCAUUGGGAUACGAGGUGUAAGAAAAAUGAAUGGGUUUAUAGGUAUUAGGUGGUGUAGGUUAGUGAAAGAAGUGGAUAUGCAUCUUAUGAGAAGGCUUGGGAGAAUGUUUGAGGAUGUCUGCACGUGAAUGAGAAUAGGGAUGAAUGAGUGGGAAAUGGGGUUGCAACCCCAUCCUCAUUCUAGAACGAGCAAGGGGCUUGGAGGGUGGACUGGGCACCAGGACCAGGUGUCUUGGUCUUAUUUCCUCUGACAGCACGAAGCUUGACAUGAAGAACAAUAACAUCAAGUUCCUUGCAUCCUUGUGAAACAUCUUGGCAGCCGGCAUGGCUGCGCAUGGUGAAGAUCUCUCCCCAUCGGCUUUCUCUUUCAUGCCAGUAGUGGUGCGAACCAAGGUCUCUAAUAGGUCCAAAGGUUGCAUUUUCUCCCUUUAGUUCCCUAACCUUCAACACCGUUUCGGCUGGAGCUUCUUCGCUCGACAUCGCCUCCACUCAGUAUGCUCCUGUUUUCAUCCUGAAUUUGCAGUUUGUGGAAGCCAUAGUCGCUUAUUCUGGUUCUUCAUCUAAUAGGCAACCUGAUAAUGGCCCCCUAAGACCCUAAUGCUGAACUCCCUCAAAAGCAACCCAAUCCAACCGGCCAGCCGAAACAUGAUACUCACUCCAGGAAUACCAGAAACAGAGGAUACAAUGAGGGAAAACAGAGCAUGCACAAAAAGAAGUAAGGUUGUUAUUUUUAGCCCUAUCUCAUGUUGAUCAGUGAGCUGAAUAUAGGUGGAAGAAUCUCAAGAAGUGAGAACAGGAUUUCUAUUUAUCAAACUCAUGGAGAGAUUAAUACAUCAAGUGUUUUCCAAAGGGAAACAAAGACAUCGGAACGUGAGGUCCUAACAGAGCAUGCACAUAAAAAGUAGACACAGCAAAGCAAACAAGUGGCCCAUGACGUCCACACCAAAUCAUCUAAUGAACCCAAAAACUACUAGGAAACAAGAUAGAACACUCUGGAAUGAGAAAAUACAAAGGAGUGCUGAAAUCAUACCUGGAUCGGACUGACAAGCUCCUCCCCUGCUCUUUCUAAGGCUCCUCACUGGUUCACUCUCAAGCUCCCUCCGAAAAAAUCUCUCUCUCCCUCAAGCUCACCCCGUAUCUCCCUGCAACAACCAAAGGAAGAUCUUUUUCUCUCUUUCCCCCGCCCCAAAAAAAUAUUUUUUUUUCUCUAAAUCCUUUAGCUAGCUUGCAGAACAUGCCCCUUUGUCCCCUACAGCUUGCCCCUCCUUUUGUCUAUCUAAGCUCCCUAAGAAAACUGCAAAAAAUCUCUGUAACCGUCCCAUUUUCACUCAAUUGUCUCCUCUUUUGAAACCAUUCACUCAUCAGCCGUUUUCUUUCACUUCCAAUCUUCUUUGGCUGCCCCCAGGAACGGCUCCUCCUCAGGGUGGCCAGAGAAAAUAAUAAAAAUAAUAAAAAAGAACUCAUACUACUUGAGGGGGUCUACAAUAAUGCUUUUAAGUGCAAUGUUUCUUCUUAUCUACUCUAUGCAAUGUCAAAAUUAGGAAGAGAGGAAGAUAGAUAAUGAAGAAUAGAUAUUAAUCUUCUUCUACUCUCUCUCUAUUUUUUAUUUUUCUUCACUUCUUCUUUUCUUUUGUUUUUUCUAUCUAUUUUCUUUCAUUCCUAUUUUUUUCUCAAAAUUUUCAAGAAUUUUAUUAGAAUUGCAUUUAUUGACUGCACCAUAUUUUUGGAUUCACUUUGCAAUUGUAGGAAUAGGUUGACUUUCUUUCAUUUUAGUUAUGGAAAGUGAAAGUAGUUUUGUUUGGUACAAGAUCACUUCACACCUUAUGGUUAAUGGAGAAAAUAAAAGAUAACAACACACCAUAUCAACAGUUGGAGUAUUUUAAUUGUAAUGCUAAAGGUAAUAUUUGUGAAUGUGCAAGCAAAAAUAAGAAUUAUGAUGUUUUUAAUUGAUUUUCAAAGUCUUAUAAUUACAAAGAUUUCACUAUUCAUGUUGCAUUGAUGGUUGGUAUUGUGAGUGAUUCAUAGAGUGAUAGCGCAUUGCAUUUUAGUAGUGAAUUUGAUGCUAUAUCACUAUGGAGUUUUGCAUAUAAAGAAUUUCUUUCUAAGUGUAUUAAACUGAAAAGUAAAUGAAUUAAUAAAAUGAAAUGUCACUAGUAAGAAAAUUGGUGAAAUUUUUGAUAAAGCCAUCUCACCAUCUACUGAGAAUGUUGUGGGGGAAAUUUGAAAUAACCAUGCAUUCAUAUUUUCUCCCAUUUGGUUUUGGAAAUUUAGCUCCAAUGGAGCUGAAACAAGCCUCAUUCCUAAUCUUUUGUAGAUAUAUGACUUCUAUUUUGACAAAUAUCAUAUAAAUUAAUUUUGUGGAACUUGACUUUGGAUCUAAGGAGAAAUAUGGGAUGAAAUAUUUGUGGCAUGUCAAAUUUACAUCAUGGAAUCCAUGGUUUAUGUUUCUUUUAUAGACUAAAAUUUCAUCACUUGCUAACUCUAGAAUCAUGGAUGAUUUGGGCCUUUGUGGCUAAGACAAUGCUAAAUAAUAAGGUGAAUUUAUUCUAAAAUGAAAUAAUAUAUAGCAGUUAUCCUAGUCUAUAUACAACUCUCAAUACAAUACAAGAUGACACUGGUUCUAGUGUAAGCCGUUCUUGGAUUGCAACAAAGAAGUCUUGGACAUAAGGGGCAUGAUAAUUGGAAUAUAUUUCCAUUUUAAGUCUACAUCUCUCUUUUUCUUUUUGGUGGUUGGAAAGCUUUGAUAAUUAGUUUGUGAAAUAUCAUGAGUAACUCCUACCCUUAUGUAGGAUUCAAUUUAUUCAACUGUGUAACUCAUUAGAUCAUUUUCUACAUCCCAUUCCAAUGGAUUUGGGUAGGGUGAUAUUGCCAUUGUAGCUUAUCUUGUUGUUUUUGUCUCUAUUUGAUGAUAAUGCAACAUCUUUGUCCAAUUUAUAAUUAAUAUUUGGAAAGAAUGAGAUAGAUAUUCAAAUGAAUAUGUUGAAGCCUACUUAAGAUUUUUUUAAAAUUCAUACAAUUGUAAGAUUUAUUUACAUUGAACUCUCUAUAAUUUUCUUAGUUUUAAUACAUUAUUGUCAUUUAGAGCCUUUAUCAUUUCAAGGGUUGUCUGUUACUUUCAUCCUUGGAUCUUCAAGACUAUAUCGAUUUGUUUUCUCUCCUUGCAAAUCAUGUAUUCUGGGUUCAUUAGUGUGUGGAAGUUCAAUUCUUGAUGUAUUCUUUGCUUGCUUUGUUUAAUGGAAUUCCAAUUGCCAAAAGAAUAAAAAAAACAAAACUAACUAUUUUGUGUGCAUUGUUGCAAUGUGAUCAAGUUAUCUUCUCUCUUGAAUUUUAAUACUAACUUAAAAUAAAACUUCUUUAAAGGGAUUGCUGGAUAUUUGGCAGAAGCACAUUUAACCAAUCACCUUGGUUCUUUAAGGACCAAUGAGAAUGUGAUGGACUUUGUUUCUACUAAUAUUGCAGUUGAAAAGGCUACUCAAACUGCAGCACAAAACGUUGAUGGUGAUAGAAGAACAUCUUUCCUUGAAAGACUCUCUAGUUGCUUAGAAAAUCAACUCAUGUUGUUGCCCUAAUUCAAGCUGCUUGGCAACAGAGGAAGGGGAAACGAGGCUUUAGAUCUUUGGUCCAAAUAGGCUGGAGGAGAAAAAGGCUAAUUCUUUAUCUUCUUGAGUAGUGCCCUAGUUUUAUUUUGUUAAUAAUGACAGAAAAAUUGAUAUGUUAAGAACAAUUUUUUGAAACAGGAAAGCAAGUUGCUUAAAUUCUUGAGCUUUAUGUGGAAUCCUCUAUCAUGGGUGAUGGAAGUUGCUGCUAUCAUGGUCAUUGCUAUGGCAAAUGGAGGGGUAAUCAUCUUCAUUUUUCAUUUUUACCUUGCUUUUAGUCUGUUUUUUUUUUCUUUUUUUCUUCUAAUUUUUGGUGGGUGUGUGUGUGUGUGUGUGUUUUAAUUGUAUUUCUUCUAAAUUUUGAGAAUUUUAACUAUUUGAGAAUUUUAGUUGUAAAGCUAUUUUUUUUUUUUGUUUAUUUUAUGAUUUCAGUUCCAUAGUGCAUCCAUUGGCAGAUACUUUACCACUCUUUUUUAAACUUUAUUUUUGUUCCACCAUCUAUGUAGAAAUGCUAAAACACCCUCUAAAAACCCUAACAUGGCUAGCAAAUUAACAAUUAUAUAUCUGUUAUAGAUACUCUAUCAAAUUGAAUUUUAGCUUUAGGGGUGGUUGACAAAUUGACAAUUAUCUCCAAAUGUAUGAAAAUUUUCACCUAAAAAAUCAACUCAUACUCAUUCACUAUUAUUGCUUUUCAUAUUAGCUCUAUAGAUUCUUUUUCCUCUUUCUAGUGAUUUCACAAUUAUCGUUUCUAGACCUUUUUGCUAUGUUAUCCUAAAAGUUUUAGUUGUUAACAUGGAACUUCCUUGAAUUUUCAUGCUUAAGGUUGUGACUUUUAUGAUUAUCUUAUUAGUUUGGUGAUUUUUCCUAUAAAAACACUUCAUCAUCAACAUGUAGACCACUAACUUGCUCACCUAUGAAAAUCUAAUCCUCAUCUACCAUGUCUCAAAUACUAAUAAAACCAAGCUUGUUGGUAUACUUAUCACAAGUGGGUUUUGAUUUCUAAGAAUGAAUUUUUGGUGGAUUCUUAUUUUUAUUAAUUUUAUUAUAAGUCAAAUCCAAACUUAGUAAUGAAUCAAUUCUCAAAUCUUAUAUAUGGUUUUUUAGGCAUUUAACAAUAUGAUUAUGUGAAGUUUUUUUAUUAAAUUUUGAAUUUUAUCAUUAAGUUAGAUUUAGCUAAAACUCUUCAUAAUAUAUAUAUUUUUUCUUAUAAUGAACUGAAAGGAACACAACUCUAUUUAAUUCUUUAUUACUUAAAGGAAUGUGACCCCUUAAUGUCUUCCAUUCAUUCUAGUAUGUAAAAGGCUAAUGGGAUUCAAGGUGGGGAGCAAACUUGAAUAAUCAAAAUUAAUUUUUGAUAUACUUAUUGGUUGCUGCAGAUACAAUUAAGAGGUUUUUUGUUCUUCCUAUCUUUGUUUAUAGGUUGCAAAGGAGUUUGGUUUGCUAAAAGAAGAGGAAUUGUCAUCCUAAAGGAGACGAUGUCAAAAACCAGGGGGAUUAUAUCAAUGAACUCAUGAAGAGGAUGAACUAUGUUUUUGUAGAUUAUAGUUUAUCUUAAUAAUCUUUGCACUAAUAUUUGAUCAUUAGAUUGUUGAAAUAUUCUGAUGUAAAUAAUAAAUUUUUUAUGUAAUUAGUAUAUUUAUAUAAAUAAUUACAUUAAUUGUUUGAACUAAGUUAUUGUAUAUCAAUGUUUGGGGAUAUUUUAUUUUGUAAAAUUCAAUUUAAUUUUAUGGCUUGUAAUUGUUUUUUCUUUUGCUUAUUUGCAUAAGAAAUCCAUUAUUUUAAUAAUAGGAUAUGAAUAUUAUUUUUAAUAGAAAAUGUUUACAGAUGACGCUUUUAUAAGUGUCUUGUUAACGUGAACCAAAGAUGACAUUGGUCAAAGUGUCAUUAUUAACAUGAAUCAAAGAUGACACUCAUAUAAGGGUCAAGGUUGACAAUUUUGCAAAAAUUAUUUCAAUAGAAGAUGUUCAACAUUGGCCUUUUUAACAAGUGUUAUUAUUAACGUUAUUCAAAGAUGACACUUUUAAAAGCGUCAUUGAAAUAUUAAUCAAAGAUGAUGCUUCCUAGAAGUGUCAUUAUAAACUAAAACAUAUAAUGACAAGGUAGAGGAUGACGCUUAAGGAAAGCGUCAUCUUUUAUCUUUCUUGACACUUAAAAAGGGUCAUUAUUUCCCUUUUUUCUUGUAGUGACCACUCAAUGAAUUGCAUAUGGAUGAUCUUUAUAAAUUGAAAUCUCAAUUUUUCAUGAGUGGAGAUUAUUGCAUUAGAUAAAUUUUAGAUUAGAAAAUUUUGAUUUUAAUUUAUUACACUAGGGAGCUUUUGGGUGGCAUGAAGGUGUUAAUUUUGUGCAUGGAAUUAUGUGUGGUAGGAUUAAAUGCAGACAUUCAAGGGUCUAUGAGGUCAAUUUCAGAUUGAAUAAAAGGUUGAGAUUUAAUUCUCAAUUUUAAUUUCCAGGUUUACUAAUAUAUUCUUGGCAUGAUAACAUGAAGCGUCGUUUGUUUUUUAACUUUUAAUGUACAUCCGGGUAAUUAGGUUGCAUAAAAGGUUGAAUGAUAUGUUUUAGAAUAUUAAUUUAAUAAAAGAGAAAAGAGGGUUUUGACUCACUAAUUUAAAAAUAUAUAUAUAGAAAAAGGAACCUCACUAUUUAUAAAUCAGUUUUAUCUUUAUCCAUUUAAAAAUAUUUUAAAAUACAUACAUUUUUAUAAUUAUUCUUGAAAUACCCUUCUACUUGAUAAUAUUAAAUAAAAUUAUCAAAAAAAUUUAUUUAUCAUUUUAAUUUGAUAAAAGUAUCUUACAAAUAAAUAAUAUAUUAUGAAUUUUUUAUUAUAUAAUAUGAUAUACAAAUUAUUUUGAAAAAAAUCUCCAAGAUCCUCAAAUGAUGAAUAAAAUAUUUCUAAUUCUCUAAUUAAUAAUGACUUUAUAUCUUGCAUUAUAUAAAUCAACUCAUCUUCUCAUUUUUUUUUUUAAUAAAAUUGAAUAAAUAUUUUGUUAGUUGACAUCAAUAAUAAAAUAAGAAAUUUAAAAUUUGAAAAUAUAAUUAAAAAUUAAAUACAAUUAAAACAAAAAAAAAACUUAAAAAUUAAAAAUUAAAAUAAAAUAUUAACCCUUAUUGUAUUUCCAACUCUUUCUUUAAUCUAUAUUUUCUACUAGUGUGAUUUAGCUAAGUGAAAGUUAAUAUUUUAUUUUUAUAUUUUAUUAAUUUCAAAUCAGUUCUCAUGGUAAAAAAAAAUUAUUAAUUGGUGUUAUUAAUCUAACAAAUAAAAGGUCAUUUUAGGAAAUAAUUAUCUGACUUGUGAAAAAGUAUUUACAUUUUAAAAUAUUUUUAAAUUGAUGAAGAUAAAACUGAUUUAUAAAAGUUAGGGUUCUUUUUUCUAAAUUUUUUUAAAUUAAUGAGUCAAAACUCGUUUUUCCCUACAUAAAAAUUGAAAACAAUUUUUUGAUUUCUAAUUACUAAAUACGUUUUUCAAUUUUUUUUCUUUUGAAAAGCAAAUAUUUGUUUUUAAAAAACAAUUACCAAAUACAACCUAAGGGUUAUGGUGCACACUUACUUAGAAUCCUUUGUACAUUUUUGCCUCACGAAGUGCCUCCAUUUGAACAUUUGGAUAUGGUCAAAGGAUGUAUUGGCAAUCACUUAAUUUUGCCAAUCACUUAAUAUUAAAUAAAAUUAUAAAAGAAAAUUAAUUUAUCAUUUUAAUUUGAUAAAAGUAUCUUACAAAUAAAUAUAUUAUAAAUUUUUUAUUAUAUAAUAUGAUAUACAAAUUAUUUUAAAAAAAUUCUCUAGGAUCCUCAAGUGAUAAAUAAAAUAUUUCUAAUUCCCUAAUUAAUAAUGAAUUUAUAUCUUAUAUUAUAUAAAUCUACUCAUUUUUUUUUAAUAAAAUUGAAUAAAAAAAUUAUUUGACAUCAAUAAUAAAAUAAGAAAUUUUAAAAAUAAAAAAUAUAAUUAAAAAUUAAAUACAAUUAAAACAAAAUAAAAUUAAAUACAAUUAAAACCAAAAAAACUUACAAAUUUAAAAAUAAAAUAAAAUAUUAACCCUCAUUGUAUUUCCAACUCUUUCUCCAAUCUAUAUUUCUAUUAAUGUGAUUUAGCUAAGUGAAAGUUAAUAUUUUAUUUUUAUAUUUUUAUUAUAGUUCUCAUAGUAAAAAAAAUUGUCAAUUGGUGUUAUUGACCUGACAAGUAAAAGGUCAUUUUAGGAAAUAAUUAUCUGACUUGUGAAAAAGUGCAUAUAUUUUAAAAUAUUUUUAAAUUGAUGAAGAUAAAAUUGAUUUAUAAAAGUUAGGGUUCCUUUUUCUAAUUUUUUUUUCAAAUUAAUGAGUCAAAACCUAUUUUUCCUUAUAUAAAAAUUAAAAAUAAUUUUUUGAUUUCUGAUUGCUAAAUAUGUUUUUCUAUUUUUUCUUUUGAAAAGCAAAUAUCUGUUUUUAAAAACAAUUACCAAAUACAUCCUAAGGGUUAUGGUGUACACUUGCCUAGAAUCCUUUGUACAUUUUUUCCUUAUAGAGUGUUUCCAUUUGAACAUUUGGGUGGUCAAAGGAUGUAUUGGCAGUCACUUAAUUAAUUUUGCCAAUCAGUUAUUGAUGUCAUACAGUGAAGUUGUAUCAUCAUGGGCUUGACAUCAAUUCAAUUGAAUACAUGAUUGUGACUAUGUCCAAGGUCAAUAAAUACCAAUCUACAUGUGUUUUGCAUCACGUUCAUUUGGAUAACUGUUUAUGUUUUUUAUUUAUGUUUUACAUCAGUAAUAUGUAAAACAUUAUGAUUAUAUUUUAUUUUCAAAAGCAUUAACAAAAACAACAAAAACAUUAAGGAAAAUUAUUUUCUUAUGUUUGGUUAUACCAUAGAAAAUAUCAAAGAAAAUAAAAUAUAAUUAAAAUUAAUUAAAAACUCAUAUAUUUUUAAAUUAUUUAAUCUUUAUAUCAAAGAGUUAAAACAAGUAAAAUGAAUUUGAUGUAGUAUAUAAAAGUAAUUUAUUAAUUUUAAAUCUUUUUUUUUCCUUUCUAUUUUCUUUUCCUUGUAUUUGGGAACCAAACAUGGCAUAUUUGUAUAAGUAUAUUUUUGCAAAGAAGGAAAGUCAAACCCACAUGCAUCUAGACUAUUUAUGCCAACAUUAGGAGUUGUUUACCAUUUGAAACCCUUCAUGCAUAAUUAAGUUGUUGAUUUACUUAAAGACAUUGGUCAAAUUUAAGUUUCUUCUCUUUCAAAAGAAUUAGCUUGUGUUAAGUGUAGAUAGAGCUGGUAAGGAAUGCAAUCACACCUUCAUAAGUAAGUUCUUUCAUGAUAAAAGAGAAAUAGGUUUGGAAAAAUGUGAUUCACAUUAAUUCCUAUCUUGAUAAUUAAGUUGUUGAACUCUUAUGAAGUUAAUUAAUAAUGUUUAAGACAAAUAGUUAUGUAUAUCAUGAAUAAAAAUUUAUCUAUGAAUAUAUGACGUGAAUUUGAGCUAAAGUUUUUUAUAUUAAUAGUAACACAUUAUAAAAUUUCAUGAAGAGUUCUCUCUUAUAUAUCCAACCUUAUUCAUAAUAAUAUAUAUAUAAGUCUAUCAUUUGUAUGUUGUUUUUUUCUUGAAUUAAUUGGUUAAAAGGGAUGAAAUAAUCUCCAUAUUUGUGAAUUUAACCUCUCUCGUGUUUUUGCUUGAAGAGUAACUCAUUUUUAACUUAAAUGCCCUUAGUUAUUUCAAGUAUUUAAAUGUAAUUUUAUGUUUAUAAGACUCAAUUUCUCAAAUAUUAAAAUCAAAUCAACUACUCAAACUAAAAACAUUUCAGUUGACUUUAAAACCCAACCAAAUUUUAAUUUUUAAAAACUUUCCAAAUUUAAAUUUAAUUUUACUUUCUAGGAAACCCAGUAAUGACUAUAUGGAAUUGGUUCUCUACAAGGACCACUUUUCUACUUUUCAAAUGCCACAUUUUUACUUUGAAAUGAGAAGACAAGUUGUCAACAUGGUUACUUGCUCGUAAUUUAUGUAGACAAAGGAGUUAAAGGCCACUUUUAAUUAUCCAUAGGAAUUCACAAAUUUUUGUGAUGAAGAUUCCUUUUCUCAAGAGACAUAUUGGCAUAUCUAUAUCAAAUAUCAAUCAUGAUUGACCAUUCUACCUCUCCCACUAUUUAUAAACAACAGAGAUUAUAUACCAUCUCAUGCAACCACUCGAUAGGUGUUCUUGGGAUCCAUAUUUGGCAUAUUGGACCACAACUCUAAGAAGAAAAGGAAUAUGGACCGAUGACAUAUUUGUGUAGAAUGGAUAUGGUUCCCUAUAGGUGGCAUUAGGAGCACUUUCCAUAUCACAUGAUGGAGCACUUUCCAUAUCACAUGAUGGGAUUUUGAGAUUUGGGACUAGACUUUGUGUCCCAAAUGAUGGAGAUUUAAGGAGAAAGUUGUUGGAAGAAGCUCAUUGUUCUAAGUUUGCGAUCUACCCAGGAGGGACGAAGAUGUAUAGAGAUUUGAAGCAAAAUUAUUGGUGGCUAGGUAUGAAGCGGGAUAUUGCAAGAUUUGUGGCUUAGUGUUUGGUGUGCCAACAGGUGAAAGUUGAGCAUCAACGACCAGAAGGAUCAUUACAACCAUUUCCUAUUCCUGAAUGGAAAUGAGAACAUAUUACCAUGGACUUUGUGACAGAGUUGCCAAGAACCUUAGGGAAUAAUAAUGCUAUUUGGUUAAUUGUGGAUUGACUAACAAAGUCUGCUCAUUUUCUGCCUAUGAAAAUCAAUUUUUCUAUGGAUCGUUUUACUUCUCUUUAUAUUAAGGAGAUUGUGAGAAUGCAUGGUGUACCUGAUUCUAAAGUAUCUGACAGAGAUCCUCGUUUCACUUCUACAUUUUGACAUAGUUUACAGAAAGCAUUCUGUACUAAGUUGAGUUUUAGUACUGUUUUUCAUCCGCAGACUGAUGGCCAAUCAGAGAGGGUAAUUCAGGUCUUGGAAGAUUUGUUGAGAGCUUGUGCUUUGGACCUAAAAGGUAAUUGAGAUGAUUAUUUGCCCCUAAUGGAGUUUGCCUAUAAUAAUAGCUUUCAAGCUAGCAUUGGGAUGACACCUUCUAAGGCCUUAUAUGGUAGGAGAUGUCAAUUUCCUGUUUGUUGGGAUGAUGUUGGAGAGAAGAAACUUUUGGGGCCUGAACUUGUGUAGUUGACUGUUGAAAAGGUUUUUUUUUAAUUAAAGAAAGAUUGAAAGCAACACAAAGUAGACAGAAGAGUUAUGUUGAUAAUCGCAUAUGAGAUUUGGAGUUUGAGGUGGGUCAUCAUGUUUUCUUGAAAGUUUCACUUAUGAAGUCUAUAAUGAGAUUUGGAAGAAAAGGGAAACUCAAUCCUCAUUUUGUGGGACCAUUUGAGGUAUUAGAAAGAGUAGACACUUUGGCUUAUAAAGUGGCCUUGCCCCCAAGUCUAUCUAAGAUUCAUAAUGUAUUCCAUGUUUCGACUUUGAGAAAAUAUAUUUAUGAUCCCUCUCAUGUUGUGGAGUUGGAGCCUAUUCAAAUAUAUGAGGACUUGACCUAUAAAGAGGUGUCCAUUCAGAUUGUGGAUGUGAUGGACAAGGUACUACGUCAUGCUGUUGUUAAGUUAGUAAAAAUCUAAUGGAGCAAUCACAGUAUUCAAGAAGCUACUUGGGAAUUAGAAGAGGAGAUGAGAGAAAAGUACCCACAUCUUUUUCAAGACCCAGGUAUGUCAAGUUUAAAGGACUAAACUUUUUUUAAGGAGGGGAGGAUGUAACACCCCAAAAUUUAAUCUAAGGGCAAAGUAGUAAUUUAUAAAGUAAUUAAGUAAUUAAUUAAAUUCAUUAAGGGUGAAAGAGUCCUUUUACAAUUAAAAAUUCUAGGUAUAAAUUGAACUUUUCCUUUUGUCUUCUUCACUCAAAAAACCCUAUAAACCAGAAGUAGAGAAUUGGAGAUUGUAGGGCUCAAGGAUUAUAGAUUCAGAGUUGAAGUUCAGGUUUUUUCCAAAUAAGAUUCUAACCCUAAAUUAAUAUAUUAUAUUUGUUAGUUAGUUAUGAACACACUAGUUAUUCUUUGAAUUUUUUUUAAAUUUAGAUUAGGGUUAGUUAUUAUUUUUUUAAUUUGUUUUAAUAUCAAAAUAUUGGAAAUUUAGGAUUAUUGGUGGUUUUAUUAUUAGAAAUUGGGAAAUCUUAAGUUUUUGAAAAAAAAAAAAAUGAUUCUCUGGAAGAUUUCAAUUUAGGCUAGGGUUAACCUAUUUUAAAACUUUUAGCUCAAAAUAUUGAAAUUAGGAAUAUAGGUUGUUCUAUUGAUGAAAAUAGGGAAAUUCAAAAUUUCUUAGAUAAAUAGAUCUAAGUAAUGAAUUUUUUUUAAAAAAAUAAAAAUAAAUGAGUAAAUAAAUAUAUUGUUAUAUGUGGCUUAAGGGAUUAGAAAAUAUUAGAAAAAGAAAAAAAAGAAAGAAGAAUGUGUGCUUGUAGAAGAUGAAGAAUGGUGAAAAGAAAAAAUAAAUAAAUAAAUAAAAUAUAGUAAUAUUAAUAAUAAAGGAAGAUGUGUACGGAUGGUGUUUGGUGGUUAAUAUAUAUAUAUAUAUUAUAAUGAUGGAGAGUUAUUGUGUAUAGGUUAUGUUAGGUGAAAAAAAAAAACUUGAAAGUGAGAGAAUAAAAUUUAUAAAAAUAAAAGAAAGUAAAGUUUUUGGUAUUAUAAUUAUACUAAUGAUGUAUUGUAGUUUAAUUAAAUUAUGUUGUGUCCCAAGAAAUAAAUUGAAAAUAAAAUUUAAGUUUUAUAUGAAUUAGAAAUUUAUUAAUUUUUCUAAAAUAGGAAUAGAUUAAAUUAUCUUUCAUAAUUAAAAACAUUAAUUUGAAUACCUAAAAUUUUAAGAUUGUCAAACCUAUAAUUUUAGAUAAAUAGUAAUGGUUAUUUCUUUUAUACUUUAUUAGGUGAAGAGUAAAUUUUCUAGAAUUAUUUUUCUCCCAAGUUUUUGAGGACUUCUUUUGAGGUAAGGAAAAUUAAUACAGUUGUUUUUUUUUUUUUUUUUUAGAACCAAAUUUUAUAUACAUCAUUUGGAAACGUUUUGAGUUAUUAUUCAUUUUAUGCAUGGAUCAAAUAUGUUUUGCAUGAAAAGUAUGUUAGAACCUUACAUUUUGUUUACAGUAGAGAAAUGUAAGAUAUUAUGUUUUGCAAAUUUGAAUAAUUGAAAUAAGUGUUUGACUCUAGUUUGUUUGACCCUUGUCAAUGGGAUAUAAUAGUUGACCUUUACAUUUCUUGGUGGGGAAUGUAAUUGAUUUGGAUCCCAACCUCUAGGGGUUUGGUUAGAGGUUACUAGUACUAGUAGUGAUUGGUUGCGUCCACCUUAAAGGAAUAAUUUGAGGCUAGCCACCUAUUUGAAAAGUCUCACCUAAUUGGGCACCAUUUGAUGUUUGAUAACCAAAGUAAAUAAAUGAUUUGAAUGUUUUGACUGAAUUUGAUAUGAAAAUCUUUGAAUCAGAAAUGAAAGUGUACAAUUAAAAGUUUUGAAUGUAUUAGCAAAACUGACUCAAAGGUUUAUGAAAAUAGUUAGUUAUAAUAUCUCCUAUUUUGCAAGUGAACUUGAAAUAUUUGAUCCAUGAAAUUGUAUUAAUAUUCCUUAUUGGGCUUUGAGCUCAUUUCCCUUUGUUGAUAAUCUUUUAGGUAUCCUUAGUUCGGGUGAGGAGUGAUGGCUAGGUCGGGGAAUGGUCAUCAUUAGGAUUUUGCUUAGGAUGUUAUUUUAGGACAUUGUUAGCUUAUAAGUUUAUGUUCAUAUGGAUUAUUUGGUUUUUGAAAGCUUUUUAGAUAUUGAACUUUUAAAUUUUUAUGAUAGUUUGAAGUUGAGAUUUGGAGAUUAUGAAAAUUUUUGUUAGUACUUGAAUUGUUUGAGUUUGCAAUCUAUUUAGAUAAUUGAUUUUGGUUGAUGGAUGCUUAGUUUUUAAGUUAAGUUUUGAAGAUUUUAGAAUUUUGUUCCGCUGCUUUGAAUGUGUAUUUGGUAAUUGGUAACUUUCAAUUACAAGAUAAUUGUUUGGGUCAGGUUACACUUAAAGUCUUCGGGUUUGAGGUGUGAAAUGACCGUCACGCCUAAUUACUACUCAAAAAGUGCUCUUUUAUAGCUUCUUAUAAACUCUUUUAAACGCUUUUGAGUAGUAAUUAAUACAUUUUAACUCAAUUGACACAUUAAGGACCCUUGCGAGUGUUACUAAUCAGUUUUUGGCAAGUUUUGAUGUUUUGAUAGCUUUUUGAUCAUUAAAACAAGCCAAGAAUGAGGGAGAACUUGGUAUAAUCCAUGGCAAAGCAAGUUUGAAGCUAAAUUACAUGAAGAAUCCCAGUUUUGGAGAGCUUCAAAGCCUUUGCCAAAUCAAUCAAGUGUGCAAGGAAGAGAAUCAGAGAAGAAUCUAACACUGAAGAAUUUCGCAACCUCUUACGAAAUUUUCACAAGCCAGAAGAAAUUUUCGCAACUCCUUUUCAGCUUUGCGAAAUUUUAGCAAUUCCAUAUCUGACUUGUGAAAUCCUUCAUGUAAUCUUCAGAUAUUUUUGCACCGACUCCGUUAGAUUUUUUACCUCAAGAUAUUUUGUGUAAUUAUUUAUUUUCUCCUUGUAAUCAGCUAAAGAUCUUUUUAGAUAUUUAGGAUAUCUGAUAGAGGAGUUAAAAAUAUCUCUCUAUAUAUGUCUUAACAUAUCUCUUUUUUGUAAUAUCUAUCUCAGAAUCUCAGAAGACAUUCUUGGGGAUCACUUGUACAUUUUUAGUAAGAAAUAUACAUAGUUUUGCUCUGCUUUACCUACUCACUUUGAUUGUAUUUUCUUUCUAACCAAACAAUCUCUGAGGAUGUUUUCUCAGAGGAUGAGUGGCUAGGCUUUUUGUUUCUUGGACUGAAGGAAGCUAGGUAAGAGACCUGGAUACAAAAGUGGGAGUUUUCCUUGUUUCAGUUUUUAAUGAAGAGGAAGUUGUGACCUGGUAAUGGUUUUUAUAUUUUUAGUUAACUUAAAUCCCUUAUAAUCACCUGGGCCAACACUUGGUAAGCUUUUCGGACUCAAUCCAUAGAGAUCCAUUAGUUAUCUUUUGCAAGCCUCUGGGAGGUGGUUUAAAGGUAGGAUUACCUAGGAUAGCUAACACUUGGUAAACUUUUGGACUCCCUGGAGACAUCCAUUAGUUAUCUCCUGUGAGUUUUUGAAGGGUAAACCAAGGUUAAGGAUCACCUUGAAUGGCAAAUGCUAGGUGAGAGGUACGAGCCAUUGCAAGAUGCAUCAGUGAGAGGGAUUUAGCGUUGAAACCAUUAAUGGGAAGCAACUGUAACACACCGGUUGGGAGGAUAACUAUAGGUUAAAUCCCCAAUGCGAUGAAAAGAUCCGGAAUCUCCCCUUUUGUAUAAGGAACCUUAACCUAGUGACUUGAAACUCCAAGAAACCUUUUCCGUGUAAUUAAACUCAGUUACUAUUUUUUAUUAGCUUAAAACCAAUCCUUUUCAAUCAAACUUAUGUUUUCUUUUAAAGCUAACUCAGAAAAGAAAAAACACCAAUCCAGUUCUUUAAACUAAUAUUGCGUGUGAAAUUAAAACUCAUCCCUGUGGAUGAUCCUGGAACCACUAUACUAUGCUAGCUAUACUACCCUAGUAUAUGGUGAAUUAAGUUCAUAAAUUUUGUUGAUAAUUCCUGUCUGAGGAUUGAAUCAAAGGUACACCAAUUGGGGACGAAUCAACGCCUUUGGAGUGGGUCUUGGGGUGUGACAACCAUAGAGUGAUUAUAAAUAUGUUAAAUUCAUAAAUAGAUAAAAUAUGUCUUGGAUUGAAUGUGUUUAUUAUUAAGGUAAAUAAUCCCUUUGAUUACAAAGAUACUGAAAAUCAAGUGUUUAAUGGGCAAUGAUGAUUAUAUAUAUAUGGAUGUAUUUCCUUGUAUAAUUAUAUAACUAACUCGAUAUUCUUGUAUGAGGUUUGAUGACUCAUGUCAAUCAAAAGAUUUUUCUCAACAACUUGUUACUCUUAUGUUGAUUAUGGAGCUACCUCACAAAUGAAAAUGAUAUAAGUAAAUUAUCAUAUAUGAAGGGGUGUUUGGUAAAACUUAAUAUCUAUUACUUGAUAAUUUAAGUUGAUUUUAAGUCAAAUUAUAUUUAAGUUGUUGAUUUAAAACUUAUUACUUAAUUCUUACUUUUAAGUAUUAAGGUUGUUUGUUAAAAUUAACUUAAAAUUUAUUUUAAAUCAUCAAAUUAAUAUAUUUAUUCUCAUAAAUUAUAAUUAGGAUAAAAGAAGUUCAAUAACAAUGGAGGUUAUGGAGUAGUAAAAAAAAUCAUUGAGGUAAUUAGAAUAAAUGAAAUAAAAAGGUAAAAUAAAGAUAUAAGCUUAAGGAUAAUUUAAUUGUUUUUAGUUAUUACUUAAAGUUGUUUUUGACUUUAAGUCAGAAGUAUUAAUUUACUUUAACAAACAUAUUUAAUUUACUUAAUAACUUAAGUUAAGUUAUUAAGUCACUUUAAAUUAUUAAAAGCUCAUUUGGUAAUGAUUUUAGGAAGCGCUUUUAAUAUUUUUAAUACUUGAAAAUUUUCAUCAUUCAAAUGUUAAAAAUGUUAAAAACGCUUUCUAGAAUCACCUCGAAACAUACUGAGUUUAUCAAACACCCACUAACUCUUAUAAUGAAAGUGAUGUGAUUUAUUUUGGAAAUAAAAAUAACUUGCUAAUAUCUUGUAUUGGUGAUGUUCAUAUCUUUUGGUUUUAUUGUUAAAAACCAAAACCAAAUGAUUGUAGGAAAGGGAUAUAAGAAAGGAUAGCUCUACACUUGGGAUAGAAAAUCUUUGGAGGCUUUGAUUGCAAUAAAGAAAGGUGGCUCCUCUUUAAUUUGGCAUCAAUGGCUUGGAAAUCAUAAUUCAAACUUGAUAUAUUUGUUGAAGGAAAAGAAAGUCAUUAAUGUUACUCAUUGGUAACCAAGUCCACAAAGUGUUAAUUGUCAAAUGGACAAAAGAAUAAAAUCUCACAAUCUUCUCUUGAGAAGAUACAUUGUGAUCUUUGGGGAUAUGCCCCUUUUGAUUGAAAUCAUUGUUUCUAUUUCUAUGUAAUUUUUAUGGAUGGUAGAAAGAAAAUAUGAUUUUUAUUUCCAAAAAUAUCAAAAUUUAAUGGAAAAUUAAUUUGAUUGAAGAAUUAAGAUCUUUCAAUGAUCUUCCCCCUUUAGAUUUAGAUUAGGAUUUCCAUUUCUAUGUAAUUUUUGUUGAUGAUUAAUUUAGAUUCAUAUGGUUUUAUCUGUCAAUAAAAAGGAAUUUUGAUUUCUUUAUUUAUUCAAAUUUUUUUAAAAAUUAAUGAAAACUCAAUCAAUUGGAUCUAGAGAACUUGAGCAAAAUUGGGUUGACGUUUCUAUAAUAAAAACCCGCAUGCAACUGUGUAAAUAUGGUUUACUUUGGGUUCAAAGGGCCCACACGAUUUUAAAAUGCGUUUAAAAGGUUAAAGAAGUUCGUAUAUAUAUAAUCUUUAUAAUUUUUUCUCCUAAUAUGAAAUAUUAUGUUUAUUUAUUAAAUUUAUUUUGAGGAAAAAAAAAACAAAAAUCCUAUACAAACAACAGUCAAUUAUUUAUUAAAUUUAUGAAACUCAAACCUAGUUAAACUCCAAUAAAUUAGUCAUGGAUUGAAAAUCUUGUAAGGAAAGUGAUAUUAGCUUUAUUAGAUUCAACUUGAGUUGACUGUCGUCCGAAUCAAAUUAUCCGAGCUGCAACAUUUGAUAAUUAAUUCUAUAUCCUUAUGACGUAUCAGAAACCAGCCCACUCACAGCCCAAAAGUUACAACAUUGGGCCGGCCGAAGCUCAGCCCACUAUCACUUUAUGAUGCUUAUUAUUAUUUUAUUUUUCCAACAUAAGAUGCCCUGAUGUCAGUUUGCACAGCAGCAUUCAAUCAUUUCUUCUCCAAAAGCUGCGUUCGAUCGAUCUCAGAGUUGAAGGUACUGCUCCAAUCUCUAUUCCCUUUUCAAUCCAUCGAAUUCUAGGUUAGUUACAAAGCUGAGAAAAUAGUUGUAGGUUGGAUACAUUCCUUUGGAUGCUGAGAAAAUAAUGAGAAAAUGAAAGAAAAUUUUGAAUCGCAAAAUUUUCACCAUCUAGGGCUCGAGAGUACAGGAAAUGGCACUUUACCCAAAGCUCUUAUGACUCUUUGUUUUAGUUAAUCUGGUUUUUUUGUUCCGUUUUUUUUUUUCUUGGUUUGGAUUUUUGGCAGCAAAGAAAGUGAGAGAGAUAAUAUAGGAAUUAAAAUGUGGUUUGCUUUUAUUUUUCUUCAUUUUCUUGGUAACCACACGGAGGUUCGGAUUUCAGUGCUUUAUAGGAAAUUUUGAGUUUAGGGUUUGUCUUUGAACAGCAAUGGAACUAUUGCAAGUUUGGAUUACAGCUAAGACUGAAAUUUUUGUUAGAUUGACGGUCUUUUCUACUAUAAAAAUAGAUUUAGUUUACAUGCAGAGAAAAUAUGAGGAAAGUAAAAUAGUUUUGUAUUGUAAAAUUUUCAUCACCGAGGAGGUUUGGGUUGGAGAGGAAAAAAUGUGACUACUUAAAACUCAAACUGACUUUUUCGCUUAGUUGACCUGGGUUAUCUGAUUUUAUUGGAAGUGAAUGAUAAGUGAUAACAUAGGACUGGAAAUGCUGUUUUCUUUUAUUCCUCAAUUUUCUUGGAAACCAAACAGAGGGCCAGGGUUUCUGUUUGAAUGCUUUUAACUUGUCAAUGCUAUUGCUGAAAAUUUGAAUUCUGGGAUUUCAUUUUGGACUACAGCAAGCUAGAAUUUUGGGGAUGUCAUAUUGUACAAUUAUAUGUAUAAACAAAUUGAGCUGAACUAACAUUCACUAAUUUUACUAUGGAAAUAUAAAUAGUGCUGCCAAUGAAUUCCAAUGUAAAUGAAAGCCUUUCAAAAAUAUAAAGAAGAGCAGAAAACUAAAAUAAAAUAAAAGGAGUAAUAACUCUUUAUCUUCAGAGAAGAAAAUUAAGAACUUCAAAGUACAAAAUAAGUAAAAUGAAUUUAAUUAUAAUGGUAUGAAUUUAAUUAUAUUGGUUAUUUGUUUUGGUAGGAAAACAACACAAAUAUAUUAAAAGUGCUUGGAAAAGGCGCACAAAGUACAGACGGGGUAUACAAGUUGCAACUGAAUACGAACAAAAGGAAAGAGAAACAACAAGCCAACACCCAAAAAACAUACUUGAAGCAAAAGACCUCACCCUAAAGCCUUGAAGAACAAGAAAACCCAGACUUAACAAAUACUUGGGUGAAACCAACCUAAAACACCCCCACUACUGCCAUAACCCCUCUUCAUUGCCCUUCUUGAAACCACCACAGAAGCCCCCUUGGAAUUACAAAAUAGCCCAUGACCCCUAAACCCUUACCUUAAGACCAGGUGAGAGAGCACCAGCCCCUCUCCUCUUCUAUAUCUGAGGAGAAACAAACACCUAGCCUCUAAGCCAACCAACAACAACAAACCUAAAAACUUAAUUAUAUUGGUUACGACUGAUAAAUGAUAAAAACGUGAAUUUAUUAUGAUUGUUACUGUUAAAUAAUAAUGAUGUGGAGUAUGAGGGAAAAUAAGUAAUAUAAUAGUAGCACUUUGGGAAGAAAAAGGUCUACAGACUCUUCAUACAUUUAGAUAUAGAUAUAAAUAUAGACAUAGAUAUGGAUUUUAUAAAAUUCUGUAGAGGGGCUAUAAUUGGAGAAACCAUUGUUUAAAUGUUGGACUUAUUAUUAUUUUUUUGGUUUCUAUAUCUUUUUUCUCCAUGUUUUUUUAAUUUUAAUCUUGCACUAUGUGUACAAAAGUUCUGCUGUAUAAUUAAUUAUUUAAUUAGAGCAUUAGUAUGAUUAAUAAUAAUCUCGUCUCAGUUGUUAUUCAAACGUUUGAAUCUAUGCCUCUAGUCUACCUUUGCACACAAGAAAAUGGAUCUACUGUGCUUGCUGAUGAAGGGUGGAAUCUAGAUUUGAUUUCUGCCCUUUUGAGUUAAAUAUGUAACACUUAAUUUUCUGUCUACAAGAUGGUCAUACUAUAGUCUAUAGAAGUGGUUAUUUUGUCUUUGAUUUCAUAAUUCUGAUGUCUUUGUGUUUUCUUUUAUUUUUCUUCUUCUUUUUCCCUCUUUUAAAUUUGUUGCCCUGUGUUUUCCUCCUUUCAUUUAAAACUUCUGUUCAUUGACUUUCAAUAAGAUGUCUAUCGUGGAAGUUUCCUGCUUUGAUGAUCUCUAGUAUUAUUUAUAUCAGUUUUUUUCAAUCCCAGUUUUCUAACAUUUAUUUUUCAGUUUUCAUUUGCAAGCUAGAUGGACUACAGUUCUGACGAAGAGUCAGAUAUAAGUGAAUCUGAGAUUGUUGAAUACAAAGAGAAACCAUAUGAACAACUGAAGACUGGUAAAUAUAAAGUAAAAGGCACAAAUGGCACACUUAGAUGUCCCUUCUGUGCUGGGAAAAAGAAACAAGACUAUCGCUAUAAGGAUCUGCUUCAGCAUGCUUCAGGAGUAGCUAAAGGCUCUGCCAACAGAAGUGCAAAACAGAAGGCAAACCACCUGGCCUUGGCAAAGUAUUUGGAGACUGAUCUAGCGAGUGAAUCGGAUCAAGCUCCUCGUGCGGUUGAACCGAAACCUGUUACUCGAACUCAGGAGCAAGAUGAUCUAUUUGUCUGGCCUUGGACAGGAAUCAUCACUAACAUAGUGACUGAGCAAAAGAAUGCAUAUUGGUUGAAAAAGUUCUCUAAACAUAAGCCUCUAGAAGUUCAUACUUUCUGGAAUGACAUGGACCAAACUGCAUUAGCCAUAGUGAGAUUCAAUAAUGACUGGACUGGUUUCAUGAAUGCAACAGCAUUUGAGAAAGCUUUUGAAGCUGAUCGUCACAGUAAAAAGGAGUGGAAUGUGCAGAAACAGCAUCCUGGUUCAAAUAUUUAUGGGUGGGUUGCUCGUGCUGAUGACUACAUUUCAGAAGGACCUGUAGGGGAGUAUCUUCGCAAAACUGGGGAAUUGAAAACAAUCUCUGACAUUGUUGAAGCAGCAAAGCAGGAUAGGAACACUAUUGUCGCAAACCUAGCCAAUGAAAUUGAUUUAAAAAAUGAGAAUCUUGAUGAGUUGCAAUACAAAUACAAUGAGAAGAGCAUGUCACUAAGUAGGAUGCUUGAAGAGAAAGACAAGCUACACCAUGCUUUUUAUGAAGGUUUUGCCCCUGACUCUAUUAAUCUGUGUCUGUGGAUGUGGAGGUUGUUUAUUUGUGCCUUUGUUAGUCGUGUGUUCUGCUUAGUUAAGCCUAAACUCUGCUUAGUUAAUCCUAAACUUUUUUAUAGCAAUGCUACAUGGAAUUAUUGAACUUACUAGUCUUAGAAAUCAUGAAUGUUUGGUUCUCACUCGUUGAUGAAUUUAAAAAAAAAUAUAUAUCUUCAUUUAUUUCUAAUUGGAUUCAGUUGUUUUUCACUGGUCUAUUGAACUGUUGUAUACCUGUUUGCAUGAAGUUUGAGAGAGGUUGGUCAGUUAAAAACAUUCCAUGGGCAGUGAACCUCAAAAGGCUGCUAUUAUUACAUAUAUAUGCAUUCAGGUAUUGGUUUUGUAUUAAUAUAUGCUGAGUACAUAAUAUAGAACAUAUAAUUCCUCUUUAUCAGAAACAAGGAAGAUGCAACGGCUUGCACGGGAUCAUGUCCAGAGGAUUCUAGGGGAACAGGAGAAGCUGAAUUAUGAGUUGGACUCCAAGAGGAAAGAACUUGAUAACUGGAGCAAAGAAUUAAACAAACGUGAAGCUCUAACUGAACGUGAGAAACAAAAACUUGACGAUGAGAAGAAAAAGGUGAAAAGCUCCUAACGCAGUUUAUACUUUUCAUAGAUUCAUUAUUGAAUUUUUAGAAGGUUAAAUUUUAAAAUUCCUAUUUGUUUUGGUAGAAAUGGAAAUAGUCUGCCUUUCUGUGAUGCAUAGCAGGAACUGCAUAGUUAUUAUACCCUUCUUUUAGUGUUUAUUCUUACAUUUCAGAACAUGAUCUGAUUGUCCAUAAUGAAACCUAAAGUAUUUUGUGAUUUUAGCUUAUAGACCAUUUUUUUUUCACCUAUUCUUUAUUAUCACCCAACCACAUCUGUCUGUUAACACUAGUUUGUAUGUGAAUUGACUGAGAAUUGCAAAGCAUUGUAGUGAUGGACCGUCUUUUGGAUUGAUGAGUUCUGGAUCAAAGACAUACCAUUGGAGCAUUUGAAAGAAUUCCUAGCCAUCCUAUUGACUGGAUUCUACAGUUGUAUGACCAUGUCUUUUAACUAUCCUAGUGUCUGCUUGUCUUGCUAUUGGUCUGAGUAUUGCUGGUUUGCCUUAUCCAUGCAAUAGUUAAGCAGUUUGUCUCCUUGAUUAGUGUGUACUGUCAUAAUGAAUGUACAGUUGCUUUUCACUCUAGGAAAAAUAAACAAAUUAAUCUACUCUGUCCUUCUUUCCCAGUACUGUGUCUCCAGUUUGAAUGAUUCAAUUAUAGGGGAUUUGUCGUCUUUGUAUUUGUUCUUUUCUUGUUUCCCCUUGAUGCUCUGUGUAUGCCUCCCAUGUCCUGGAUUUGCUCCCAUUUUUACUGGUUACUUUUUUAAAUAUAUUCUUUUUCUAGCCUAUCAAAGAAGAAAAACAAAGCUUAUACUCUGUGCUGAUAUUGUUUGUUAUCCUAUUAGAAUAAUGAUAGAAACAAUUCACUUCAAAUGGCUUCCAUAGAGCAGAGAAAGGCUGAUGAAAAUGUCUUAAAGCUGGUUGAAGAGCAAAAGGUGUGCCAAUCAGUAUCAUCCUCAAGACACUAGCUUGUUAAUUUAAUAUUCUCUGCUAUUUUACUGCUUGUAUAGCUCUCAUUGACUGAGAUUCUAAAUGUGUAGAGGGAGAAAGAGGAGGCACUUAGUAAGAUACUUCAGUUAGAAAAGCAGCUAGAUGCUAAACAGAAGUUGGAGAUGGAAAUUGAAGAGAUAAAAGGGAAAUUACAGGUGAUGAAACAUCUGGGAGAUGAAGAUGAUACUGCAGUUCAGAAUAAGAUGAAAGAGAUGAAUGAAGAGUUGGAAGAAAAAGUUGGCGAAAUGGAAAAUUUGGAAUCUCUAAAUCAAACUCUUAUAGUUAAAGAGCGUCAGAGCAAUGAUGAGUUACAAGCUGCUCGUACAGAAUUAAUUACAGUAUGCUUUUCUUUGCCUUUUGUUCUUUUCUAUGAACCUGUUGUUUAAAUGUUAGGCUAAGAGUUUUUCAAAGUAAUCAGAUUUUCCAAGUAAGAUUUUAUGACCAAAAUGGGGAAAGCAUGGGCCACCAAUUGCAUGUUCCACUUGAGACAGUCCUUAGGUUUGAAGUUAAUUAUCAGAUGAAAUGACCACCCAAUUGACAUGACAUUUCCUAAAAUGGUGAUAGAAAAAUGAAAUAAAAUACAAAGAAAAAGGGAAACAGAAACCCUUUUGAAUGUGCAUUACAAAAUUUUUUCUAAUUGGUUAAGCAUGUUGUUGGAAUCAUGCUGUCAAAUGGUUGAUUUUUUUUCCUACAUCCCCUAGUUGGGUCCAUGGAACCAACUGCUAGCCAUGUAACUGGAUGCAAUUAGUUAUGAUUUUGUACCUUAUUCUGUCUACUUAUGCUCAAUUCUGUUUCCUCAAAACUUGGAUAGGUAACCAUUGCAUUCUUUCCAGCAUAAUUAUUACCUAUUGCAUUCUUUCCAUCAUAAUUAUGUUCAGUAAAAUUCAUUGAAAACACUGUUCUCUUAUUUAGGGUUUGAAAGAUAUGCUGAGUGGCCGCACUAAUAUUGGGUUAAAGAGAAUGGGGGAACUUGAUGAAAAGCCAUUUCUCAAUACAUGUAAGCAAAGAUUCUCACUUGAAGAAGCAAAUGUACAGGCCUAUACUCUAGUGUCCUUGUGGCAAGAUAAUCUGAAGAAACCAGAAUGGCAUCCAUUUAAAAUUGUUGAAGUUGAAGGCGAGACCCUGGUAUGCCUCCUGAAUAUUCUGCUCUCCUUCCAUUGCUCCACCCUUUUAUGCUCAAUUAUGUUUGUACUUCUAUUAUGUUGCAUUUGUAUUCUGUCAUUGCUCACGGCCUCAUGGGCCUGAGUCAGAAAAGUAGAAUUUAUGCUCACAAAUUCUUUCAUCUCCUGAUUUAGCAUAUCAAUGGAUCUUUGCUGGCUUAUAAAAGUUACAGGUGGAAAAUUGAAAUUUGUACUUUCUCUUUUCAAGUAUCCUUAUAGUACUUGGAAUAUCUUUAAUGAUCUUUUAUAUUGCUUAGGUUAAGGUCCUUGAGAAUUAAACUAAAAUUUAUGUUCCUUCACAACUGAUAACCAAAGAUAAUCAAGAGAUUAAUCAUGUGCAGGAAAUAAUAAAUGAAGAGGAUGAGAAGCUACAAAAGCUCAAGCAAGAGUGGGGUGAUGAGAUAUACAUGGCAGUUACUAAGAGCUUGAAAGAGAUUAAUGAAUAUAAUCCAAGUGGUAGAUACACGGUUUUUGAGCUCUGGAACUUCAAAGAAGGAAGGAAAGCCACAUUGAAAGAGGUCAUUCAGUAUAUAUUGAAGAAUAUGAAGACACUUAAGCGCAAGAGAUGACGAUGCUAAAGGUUAGUAUUUUCAUAUGUUUUGAUAUAUGAAUUUCUAGUGAAGGGUAUGCAUAUAUUAUGUAAAAACAUUUUAUGGACAUGGUCCAGUGGACAGUUUUGCAAAAAGUUUUAAUCAAGUAGUAGCAGUAUAAUUUCUUAAAAAUUUUCAGUCAACCUUAGGUACUUUUUUUUUUUUCUUUGACAUCCUUUUGAUUCAACAAUACAACAAUUAUUUUCUGUGGAAGGAUGAAAUAAAAUUUGAUGUGAUGACAGGCUAUGUUUGCAUGACAUUGGCAUUCUUGACUGUUGUAUAUUGUGAGCUAACCUCAAUCUGAUGAAUCUCAGUUAAACUGUGCACUGUCUACUGGUUAAAUAUGAUUUUAAUUAGCUUGAAACUCAGUCAAAGCUCCAUACUAUCUAAUGGUUGGAUAUGAUUUUGAUUAGCUCGGUAUUGUAUUGUCCUCGUAGAAUAAUUUAUAUUCCAGCUUUUUAAUUAAAUCUUUAGGGAUUGCAAAAAAAUUAUCAGAACUUCUCAAGGCUGUUAUCUGCGAUACUUGGAAUCUUCAACUUCAUGUCAAAAUAACAUGAUAAGAGUACGGGUGUGGGACUCUUGUCAAAUAUUCCCAUUUGCCUUUGGAAAUUGAAUUCAUUUUAAAAUUUUUUUUUAAUUGGGAUAAAAGAGAAAAGAGAGUUUUAAAAAAAAAGUUAUGAAGAAUAUGCAAUUUUUGUUCUAAUUGACUUUAAUUUGAUAUUUUUCUUCAUUAUGUCAUAUCCAUCCAAGUACCGUUAAAAGAUUAUUUUUCAGUUGAGUUUUGAUAGGCCUCCUAUACGUUAUGUAUAUUCCAGAAAAGGGAAGAGGAGUGUACUGCCACCUGGCAGCUAGUUGUAACAGUCUUAGUACAGGCUGUGUAACAGUCCUGGUACAGGAUGGAAUAGCUUAAAUAGGAAAAAAGAUGGAAUUAGUUGGAGAGCUGGCUGUUCUGUGAGUCUGGUGGGAGAGUGAUAGCCUCUGGAAUAGCUAUCUUUUUAUCAGUUUGGCCCUCUUCUUGAAAUUUUUGAAAUUCAAUAAUAUCACUAAUAAUUUUUUCUUCAUUAGAUACCUAUCAAGUUCCCAUAUCUUAAGCACACACCUGAAACUACCAUGUAACACACCAAAUGAUAGUCCCAGCAAUAGGAUUCUGGAAGGAAAUGUUUUUCUUUUGGAUUAAGUGGCAACCCUCAAGACUAGACUAGAAUCUAAACAUUUGCACUCAACAGCCUUACGAUUUUGCCACUGCACUGGACAAUGGCUCUAAACUAUGGACAUUUAUGUUUGGCCAGCUUAUGUUUAGCUUAUUAAUUAGGAUGGGUAAAAUUUUGUAUUUACAAAAAUGGAAGUACAAGAACUUGUUAUAUUACAUUGUGAGGAGAUUGGGGGUGAUACCCAUGAUUAUCAGUUUUAUGUUCUAUUUCUGCUUAAUACUUUUAAUUGAGUCUAAACUAUGUGAUUUCUAGUUAGUUUGAUUAUAGGUUAUUUUAUAAAUUCUGUCUACCAUGGUGGUGAUUUUAAUGAAGCUAGUUACAGGGGUUCCAGUGCUGAUGUAAGAAGAGUUCCUUUGAUGAUUUAGCAUCAUUAUUCAAGUUAAGAUUAGUUUGAAAGAGAUUUAGAAAAUUGUCUUGGUAUUUUUGAUAUAUUAUUUGAAGCAAGGAAGGGUCAUUCCAUUUUCAAAAGGAAUGAAGAGAGAAGACAGAUUAAAAUUUGUUGAUAUAAAGGACAAAGUGCAUCAUUACUUUAUUCAAGUUAUCAUAUAUGAAAGUCCUUAUUCUUUCACACACCAGUGUUUAAUCCUCAGACCUCUAUGCUCCAUGAUGCAGGAAAAAGCAGGGAAUGAGGUUUGUGGAGGAAGCAGGUUGCUGAGAGCUGCAGCAAUAUGAAGCUUGAAGGUAGGGAGGGAAUUUCUUUUUAAGCUCUAUUUGGUGCUGGCUUAGGACAUAUGUUUACUUGUUCUUGUUGUUAGUAGUUGAAAAUGGAUCUGAUUCAUGUAAGGGGGACUCUAGUGGAGAAAGUUCCCUGUGGACCCUGAAAUUUAAGUAGUGUAAGAACGGGUAUGUCGGGUUUAGCUAAGGAAUGCUUUGGCACCAUUGUAAUAUGGUGGUGUUGGACAUCCAUAGAUAAGUCCUGAUCCAAAACUGACUUGGGUAGAUUGUGGAUGCUGGGAAGAUGAAUUUGAAAUGGGUGUGCAUGCAGAAUGGUUUCAGUGACUUUGAUAUAGUAUGCGGGGAUAUAGGGACAAACAGUUGACACUUCCAACCCAAUUCAACAAAGCCUUGCGCCCAAUUACUAGAGUUGG